Molecule: long non-coding RNA, 4549 nt
Filed under: Equus caballus (horse)
Lineage: Eukaryota; Metazoa; Chordata; Mammalia; Perissodactyla; Equidae
Description: lncRNA (ENSECAG00000036004.3)
Source: RNAcentral
AUUUCAGCUGGGCCUCCUUCGCCAGAGUCCUCUGCAUCUUUCAGCCUCCCCCUCAGACUUGCCUGUUGGAGAGCUUACAGGAGAAGGACAAAGGGGGCUGUGAUGGAAGAGGGCUUUGCAGAGCCCAGCUUACUGCCUCUCUGCUAAGUGACUUUGCUCUCUGCCUUGUCACAGUGAAACCAGUGUUCUGGUUUCAUGGCCUUCUCUUGGGUUGAAGCCUAUGAAAGGCAAGCAGAAUAUCUUGGAAAACAGACUUUGUGUGUCUCAGCCCCAAUGGUGAGCUCCAGAGAGAUGGCACACGGCGGUGCAUCAGUUUCAAAGGGGCAAAGAAAAGCAAGACGAGGGUUUCCAGGAAGCUGCCAUACAGCCUGAGUGCUUCGAGCAUUCUGUCCAAGUUGUUUUCCAUGAAAGGAAAGUCAUCCUGCCUCUGACAAGACUGGGUGCCUGCCCUCCCAUAAAUAGAAUAGGCCAUAGCCACCAGAAAACUCAAAUUUAAAAUGGCUUCAACGAUAAAGAAGAAUUAUUAUUCCACAUUAUAAAAGAUCCUAAUGUGGAGAGUAUCCAGAAUGGGUGAAGUUAGCAGCUCAAGAAUAUCAUCAAGGACUUACCUUCUUUCUGGGUGUAUGAUGGCUGCUACAUGCUGUGAGUCAUGUGCUGACGUGAAAAUGUACAUUGAAAGAAAAUAGUGACUUCCUGUGUACCUCAUUUACUCCUGGAGGUACAUGAAUCAACCUCUACACCACUCAGCAGACUUCCCUCAGGUCUUUUUUGGCCAGAAAUGUGUCAUACGGUCAUGCUUAAACCAAUCUCUGGCAAGAAGAAAAGCAGAUGUGACUGAGUUACACAAAUCAUGUUUCGAUUCCUGUAGCUACCCUCAAACACAUGGCCAUGUAGUAGGAAGGGUAGUAGAGAAUGUACCAAAAAAAGUCUGAGGUUGAGUGAGUGGGUAGUUGUCACAGUGGUGAUGAUGACUGACUGCAAUGUGCCAGCAGACAUAAGCAAAGGGGACAGCUUCCUUUAAUGUAGGUAUAGAAUUCAUCUGCCAUGCACAAAGGAGAGCAGGAGGCGUGGCUGCAAUGCUGGCUGGAGGCAUAAGUCUCUCUGGCUUUGGUGCCCCCAGGCAGUACCAAGCUGCAAAGGAUAAUACCUGACCUGGGUGACACUCAGCCCAGCUCCCUGAGACACUCCUUUUACCUUUCUAACAAGGUUUUUGAAUGCCUUCCUUGCCCCUCACUACUUCUCUGAAGACUCUGCCUAUAGUGCUGCUAGCCCACAAGGUGUAAAUAACAGGCGAAAACCCCAACAUCUUCCUCACUGAAAGAAUGGGUGAAUUGAAAGCUAAUCUUUCAAAUUUACUGCCUCCUAGCACUGUGGUUCUCAUCCUUGUCUUCAUACUAGCAUAGUCUGAAGGUCUUGUAAAAAUUCCAGUGUCCAGCCUACACUCUAGAGCAAUUAAGUUACAAUCUUGAGGGAUAGGACCCAAGCAUCAGUAUUUUUUAAAGCUCCUAAGGUGAGUCUAAUGUUCAGCCAAUGUUAAGAACAUUUGCUCUAGUGGCACAGAGUUUAGGCUCUGCGAAAGAUCCAUUCAGCAAAAAGUCAGAUAAUCCAGGAUAGAUGACAGUUUAGCAAAGUGAGGAAGAUUAAAGAUGAUUGGGAAAGAAUAUUGCUUGGUCCAACCUCAAAAAGCAUUUAAAUAUGGAUGCUGUAUAUAUUAGCACAAUAUAUGUUUGCUAUUAUGACUUUAUAUUGAUCAUAAUGAUAAUGUUAUUGAUAAGGUUUUUAUGAAGGGAAAAAUUUGAAUUUAAUUUAUGAGAAAUCAAAGAAUCUAACCCUGAGAAAUGGAUAGUGGGAUGAUUUAUUUUUUUUAAGUUAAUAAUUGAUUUUCUUCAGAUAUUCUCUCAAUUGUUACUGCUGUUUUCUUAGAAAUCAACUUUUUUUCCUCUACCUAUUUCAUUUCAAUUUAUUUCAUCCUUUAAAUAUUCCAUGUGGUGGGGGUGGGGAGAGGUUAAGGAAAUAGUUUAAUUGAAAGUAGUGUUUUAUUUUCAAGUGUGCUAAAUUGGUAUCUCCAAUGACUAUACAAUAAGGUCUAAUUUUUAAGGGGUUUUAAAUAAAUUAAAUUAAAAUAUAAAUUAAUAGAGACAUUUUUCAGAAUUUUAUGAAAACCUGGAAAGUCAAACUUUGUAAAAAUUCUUAUGGAUAACAUUGUGUUUAUUUUUUAUUACUUGGGAGAAUUAAUUAAAUCAAUUAUAGAAGAACAAGGUAGUAUCUUCACAAAUAAACCACAUAUACAUUUCUUUUCCUUUUUUCCUCCUUUACGACUAAAUUAACUAUUUGGUCCAUAGAUUACAAAAUAAUAAGGCAACUGGCAAUGGAACUAAGGGAGAACAAACAUCACCUGGAAAUCAUGGAUUCUCAUAAAAUUUGUUCAAUGGCGUCCCUUCUGGAUGCAGUAAAUGAAUAUCCUUUCAUUGCAUUUCAUUGAGGAGGAAAUGUGUGCAUUUGUGUUUAUACUCUGGAGAGCUGAAUCAUGAUAAGUGAGUGCAUUUUUGGAAUCACACAUAUGGAAAGAAGAGCAUAGCUGUUUUGGACACCCAAGAAGUGGACUGUUGAAGAUAACGUUUCAGGGUUGUCUGUUCAGCUUACCACUCUUCUCUGAAGAAGAGUGAUGUUUGUAGCAUCUUAAUACUAAUCUCUUUGGAACUAAGGUAGACACGUGAUGAGAAAAUUAGGUUCUUUCUUUAGGAAGUUUGAAUUGAGAGGUACAGAGAUUAGGAACAAGGAGUCAUGUUAAUAGCAGAACAAUAAAGUGAAGAAUAACAGGUUUCUGCUCCAGAUGUUCCAGAACUCCCUGGUUUCCUCCAUUCCUGAGUCCUGUUUUUCAACAUUCUAUUUUAUUUCAUGAUAUACAACAGUACACUUUCAAUAAAGUAUAUUUUUGUUUGUUUAAGCUAGAUUGAUGUUGUUUUCUGUUACAUGCGACGAAAAGAACCAUGACAAGGAUUCUCGGCUUGUAAGCAGUUUGAAAUCCUCAUAAGCAUCUUUUCCAUUUUUCAGAUUAAUGAACUGAGACUUGAAGAGGUUUAGUCAAUUGCAUAAAGUUACAAAACUAUCUGCAAAACACAUCGCAGACUUGAGGCUUAUAAUGCCCAUAAUACUUUUUCAAGUUAAUAUCUUUAUACAGUUAAAGAAAAAAUAAAGCAAAUUUACCUUGUGGCAGGUAAUAGGACAUUAAAUGAUUUAAUAACACCUAGAAAAAAACUGGCAUUAAUUAGAUAGGAAUUAUGUGUUAUAUGCAAACAUAAUUUUAUUAAUGCUAAAAAUUUAACUGAGACAUUAGCCUCUACUAAUUAGGAUAUUGAGGAAAACAUGACUAAUUCCUUCAAAGUCUUCCUGCUGGUAAAUUAUGAUGAUGAGAUGUGAUUCCAGCUCUUACUGAGUCCAAUGUUUGCUUUCCAUUUCUAUACUAAGAACAAAAUCUUAGAAAACUAAGCUUGAAAGUUAGAGUUUAUUUACCUGUUAACCAUCUUAACAUUUGUUUUCAAUAUGUUUUUAAGUAACUCUAAGUCUCCAUAGAUGCUACAGAAGCGUGCCUGCCAAUUCUCAUUGAUAGGUCUUAUUUCUGUGUAAAUAAAGCAUCUCUGAUGACAACAUGUGAUUUACCAGAGCUUGGAGCCAUAAGUGGAAAACGAAAAAAGUGAAAAUCGCUUUUAAGAGGAUUCUGAACAGCAAAAUUAGACUCUAGACAUAGUGAAAAUUCUUUCUGCCUUUUAUUUCCUGAGUGCUGUUAAAACUUCUGCCAUUGAAAGUUUUCGUUAUACUAGAAUUCCCUCAUUUAAAACUGAUCAUUGAUAUUUUGAUCUAAUUGUUCGAGACCUGGUUCCAUGUUACUUCCUCAAUGAACAUCCUCCAUCAAGCCUUUACUGAGAACUCUUAGCAUUGACAAGCUGAUUGUAAAGGUCAUGUGGAGAUUCAAGGAACCCAGAAUAGCCAAAAAAGAAGAACAAAGUUGGUGGGUCCACACUUCUGGAUUUCAAAACUUUCUAUAAAGCUACAAUAAUCAAGACAGUAUGGUGCUGACAGAAAGGUAAAUAUACAGAUCGGUGGAAUAAAAUCGAGAGUUCAGAAAUAAACCCUUACAUUUAGUCAAUUGCCUUUUGAUAAGGGUGCCAAGACAAUUCAUUGGGAAGAGAAUGGUCCAACAAAUGGUCCUGGGAUAACUGGAUAUCCAAAAAAUGAAGAUGGACCCCUACCACGUAUGAUAUGAAAAUUAUCUCAAAUGGAACAUAGAACUAAAUGUAAGAGCUCAAAAUAUUAAGACCUUAGAAAAUAGUUUAGGCGUAAAUCCUUGUGAGCUUGGAAUAGCAAUGGUUUUUAAGAUAUGAUGCCAAAGACACAAGUAACAAAAUAAAAUAUAGAUGAGUGAACUUUAUAAACAUUUUUUUAAAAAAACAUAGUGCUUUAAUGAACAUUAUCAAGAAAGCAAAAAAGAACCCAAGAAAUGGGAGAAAAUAAUUACAAAUCAUACAUUUAAUAAAGAAUUAGUAUCCAG